This 88-nucleotide transfer RNA is filed under the name Crenothrix sp. D3. RNAcentral describes it as "tRNA-Ser". It matches the Rfam family "tRNA". Rfam says of the family: Transfer RNA (tRNA) molecules are approximately 80 nucleotides in length. Their secondary structure includes four short double-helical elements and three loops (D, anti-codon, and T loops). RNAcentral also lists the same sequence under 3 other names. Lineage: Bacteria; Pseudomonadati; Pseudomonadota; Gammaproteobacteria; Methylococcales; Crenotrichaceae. The record is from RNAcentral.
GGAGAGAUGGCCGAGUGGUCGAAGGCGCACGCCUGGAAAGUGUGUAUACGGCAACGUAUCGAGGGUUCGAACCCCUCUCCCUCCGCCA